RNAcentral lists this ribosomal RNA (200 nucleotides) under uncultured bacterium. Its description in RNAcentral is "partial 16S ribosomal RNA". It matches the Rfam family "Bacterial small subunit ribosomal RNA", at positions 8 to 208 of the family's 1533-position model. The record is from RNAcentral.
AGAGUUUGAUCCUGGCUCAGGACGAACGCUGGCGGCGUGCUUAACACAUGCAAGUCGAACGGAAAGUGCUCUUCGGAGUGACUCGAGUGGCGAACGGGUGAGUAACACGUGGGUGAUCUGCCCUGCACUUUGGGAUAAGCCUGGGAAACUGGGUCUAAUACCGAAUAGGACCACGCGCUUCAUGGUGUGUGGUGGAAAGC